Non-coding RNA from Cordylochernes scorpioides, 75 nucleotides. The record is from the annotation of a GenBank genome assembly. Lineage: Eukaryota; Metazoa; Arthropoda; Arachnida; Pseudoscorpiones; Chernetidae.
GUACCAAAUAGCCUAGUGGACAUGGCAUCUGCCCGGUAAGCGGAAGGUCGUGGGUUCGAUUCCCGCCCCUGGACA